CAGUCGCCGCGGUAAUACAGAGGGUGCGAGCGUUAAUCGGAUUUACUGGGCGUAAAGCGUGCGUAGGCGGCUUUUUAAGUCUGUUGUGAAAUCCCCGGGCUCAACCUGGGAAUGGCAAUGGAAACUGGACGGCUAGAGUGUGUCAGAGGAUGGUGGAAUUCCCGGUGUAGCGGUGAAAUGCGUAGAGAUCGGGAGGAACAUCAGUGGCGAAGGCGGCCAUCUGGGACAACACUGACGCUGAAGCACGAAAGCGUGGGGAGCAAACAGGAUUAGAUACCCCAGUAGUCCCUGUCUCUUAUAC
RNAcentral lists this ribosomal RNA (301 nucleotides) under uncultured bacterium. Its description in RNAcentral is "partial 16S ribosomal RNA". It matches the Rfam family "Bacterial small subunit ribosomal RNA", at positions 509 to 807 of the family's 1533-position model. The record is from RNAcentral.